Molecule: ribosomal RNA, 442 nt
Filed under: uncultured bacterium
Lineage: Bacteria
Description: bacterial SSU rRNA
Rfam family: Bacterial small subunit ribosomal RNA
Source: RNAcentral
CCUACGGGUUGCAGCAGUGGGGAAUUUUCCGCAAAGGGCGAAAGCCUGACGGAGCAAUGCCGCGUGGAGGUAGAAGGCCCACGGGUCGUGAACUUCUUUUCCCGGAGAAGAAGCAAUGACGGUAACCGGAGAAGAAGCCCCGGCUAACUUCGUGCCAGCAGCCGCGGUAAUACGAAGGGGGCUAGCGUUGUUCGGAAUUACUGGGCGUAAAGCGCGCGUAGGCGGAUAGAUAAGUCAGAGGUGAAAUCCCGGGGCUCAACCCCGGAAUUGCCUUUGAUACUGUUUAUCUUGAGUGCAGAAGAGGUAAGUGGAAUUCCGAGUGUAGAGGUGAAAUUCGUAGAUAUUCGGAGGAACACCAGUGGCGAAGGCGGCUUACUGGUCUGCAACUGACGCUGAGGCGCGAAAGCGUGGGGAGCAAACAGGAUUAGAUACCCCCGUAGUC